RNAcentral lists this non-coding RNA (195 nucleotides) under Protocruzia adhaerens. The record is from RNAcentral. Lineage: Eukaryota; Ciliophora; Spirotrichea.
AAAAAAAAAACAAACAAUUUAAGAAGGCAAAAGGAAUUUUCCCGAAACUCAUCAUUUUUCCUCUAUCUCUCGCCGUCUCUCCCGUUUCGUCUUCUUUUCUUUGAGUCGUCGACCCUUUUUGUUCCUUUGAUUUUAUGUGUGUUUUUCUUUUUGGGAAAUCGAGAGAUUUAGAGUUGCACUUUGAAUAGAGGAAAA